Molecule: long non-coding RNA, 340 nt
Filed under: Brassica napus (rape)
Lineage: Eukaryota; Viridiplantae; Streptophyta; Magnoliopsida; Brassicales; Brassicaceae
Description: long non-coding RNA (BNAP_LNC015691)
Source: RNAcentral
GUAUCUCCAUUUUUGAGCUAUGACGGCUUAAGCGCAGAAGGGGAAAGGCGCAAACCGACCUAGGAGCAAGUAUAUAAAGAGUCUUAGGCUAGAGGCAAGGGGGACAGCAAAAAAAAACUUAGCACUUAGAGCAAUUUAGGCAAUUUUCCGUUUUUGUUAUUCGAGCUGCGACUUAAUUAGGUUUAGCGGCUUUAGGGUUUUAGAACUAGGAAUCUCGCCGACAGCUCUCGCAGCCCAGGCUCUUACCUUGUUGUAACGCUCAAACGCGAAUUCGGAAUAAGAUCUUUUCGAUUUCUCAUAUUUUAUCAUUUUUAUUUCGUGUUCUGAUUGCUUGGCGUGU